CCAUUGUUGGUAUCGCUUCCGUUGAGAUGGAAACGAUACUUUUUUAUUAUAAGUGACAGUUCAUGUCAAUUUGAUGAUUGUUUGACCUGUUACCAACCCAUUAGUGAAAACAACUGAAUUAUCAAAAAAAAUAUUUUUUUGAGAUAUUCAUUACAAAAAAUAUUGUACCUAAUUUGUUUCGCUGCGCUCGUGCAGCAAACAAAGUGCUCAUGAGGGGAUAUUGCACUUUCCGAACUCGCAGCAAGUUUUGCAGAGGCAUUUUAAACUAAACCGAUGGCUAUGAAGCGAUAAACUUGAAGAAUUUUCUGUACACAGGAUAUGGCCUUUGUUACCAAGAAAAAUGAACAUACAUCGAUAAUUAUUAAUUCCUGUAGCUGGACAAACUGGUAUAACAGAGUAAAAAUUGUCACUAUCAGUUACCGACAUACUCGUAUUCUGCCGUUACUAACAACAGGAAAUACUUCCUUUUUGCAUUAUUUUUUCGCAUCCUAUCUAAGGCAAGUUGCAGAUUUUUUCUAAUUAAUUUAAUUUAUUCGAGCAAUUUGUUCCUAGUCUGUAUCUGCUCAGCAUCGCAAUAAACUCGCUAGGAAAUGGCUUAAUUUUGAUUUAAAAAUCGCUAUAUUUCCUGUUAUGGAUCAUUAUUUCUGUCAAAAAUAAGAUUUACUAUAUUACAAAAAAACAUAAAUGAUCAA
This is a long non-coding RNA of Tribolium castaneum (red flour beetle), 692 nucleotides long. RefSeq lists it as uncharacterized. The record is from RefSeq and is a predicted model, not a curated record. The transcript is spliced from 2 exons. NCBI's taxonomy places the organism in Eukaryota, Metazoa, Arthropoda, Insecta, Coleoptera, Tenebrionidae.